GAUGAACGCUGGCGGCGUGCUUAACACAUGCAAGUCGAACGGAAAGGCCCAAGCUUGCUUGGGUACUCGAGUGGCGAACGGGUGAGUAACACGUGGGUGAUCUGCCCUGCACUUCGGGAUAAGCCUGGGAAACUGGGUCUAAUACCGGAUAGGACGAUGGUUUGGAUGCCAUUGUGGAAAGUUUUUUCGGUGUGGGAUGAGCUCGCGGCCUAUCAGCUUGUUGGUGGGGUAAUGGCCUACCAAGGCGUCGACGGGUAGCCGGCCUGAGAGGGUGUACGGCCACAUUGGGACUGAGAUGCGGCCCAGACUCCUACGGGAGGCAGCAGUGGGGAAUAUUGCACAAUGGGCGCAAGCCUGAUGCAGCGACGCCGCGUGGGGGAUGACGGCCUUCGUGUUGUAAACUCCUUUCGCUAGGGACGAAGCGUUUUUGUGACGGUACCUGGAGAAGAAGCACCGGCUAACUACGUG
This 468-nucleotide ribosomal RNA is filed under the name uncultured bacterium. RNAcentral's name for it is "partial 16S ribosomal RNA". It matches the Rfam family "Bacterial small subunit ribosomal RNA", at positions 28 to 507 of the family's 1533-position model. The record is from RNAcentral.